UACACUCCUGCGGGAGGCAGCAGUGGGGAAUUUUGGACAAUGGGCGAAAGCCUGAUCCAGCAAUGCCGCGUGAGUGAAGAAGGCCUUCGGGUUGUAAAGCUCUUUUGUCAGGGAAGAAACGGUGAAAGCUAAUAUCUUUUGCUAAUGACGGUACCUGAAGAAUAAGCACCGGCUAACUACGUGCCAGCAGCCGCGGUAAUACGUAGGGUGCAAGCGUUAAUCGGAAUUACUGGGCGUAAAGCGUGCGCAGGCGGUUUUGUAAGUCUGAUGUGAAAUCCCCGGGCUCAACCUGGGAAUUGCAUUGGAGACUGCAAGGCUAGAAUCUGGCAGAGGGGGGUAGAAUUCCACGUGUAGCAGUGAAAUGCGUAGAUAUGUGGAGGAACACCGAUGGCGAAGGCAGCCCCCUGGGUCAAGAUUGACGCUCAUGCACGAAAGCGUGGGGAGCAAACAGGAUUAGAUACCCCGGUAGUCCC
RNAcentral lists this ribosomal RNA (473 nucleotides) under uncultured organism. Its description in RNAcentral is "partial 16S ribosomal RNA". It matches the Rfam family "Bacterial small subunit ribosomal RNA", at positions 332 to 797 of the family's 1533-position model. The record is from RNAcentral.